Molecule: ribosomal RNA, 717 nt
Filed under: uncultured Fusobacterium sp.
Lineage: Bacteria; Fusobacteriati; Fusobacteriota; Fusobacteriia; Fusobacteriales; Fusobacteriaceae
Description: bacterial SSU rRNA
Rfam family: Bacterial small subunit ribosomal RNA
Source: RNAcentral
ACGCUGACAGAAUGCUUAACACAUGCAAGUCAACUUGAAUUUGGGUUUUUAACUUAGAUUUGGGUGGCGGACGGGUGAGUAACGCGUAAAGAACUUGCCUCACAGCUAGGGACAACAUUUAGAAAUGAAUGCUAAUACCUGAUAUUAUGAUUUUAAGGCAUCUUAGAAUUAUGAAAGCUAUAAGCACUGUGAGAGAGCUUUGCGUCCCAUUAGCUAGUUGGAGAGGUAACAGUUCACCAAGGCGAUGAUGGGUAGCCGGCCUGAGAGGGUGAACGGCCACAAGGGGACUGAGACACGGCCCUUACUCCUACGGGAGGCAGCAGUGGGGAAUAUUGGACAAUGGACCGAGAGUCUGAUCCAGCAAUUCUGUGUGCACGAUGAAGUUUUUCGGAAUGUAAAGUGCUUUCAGUUGGGAAGAAAAAAUGACGGUACCAACAGAAGAAGUGACGGCUAAAUACGUGCCAGCAGCCGCGGUAAUACGUAUGUCACGAGCGUUAUCCGGAUUUAUUGGGCGUAAAGCGCGUCUAGGUGGUUAUGUAAGUCUGAUGUGAAAAUGCAGGGCUCAACUCUGUAUUGCGUUGGAAACUGUAUAACUAGAGUACUGGAGAGGUAAGCGGAACUACAAGUGUAGAGGUGAAAUUCGUAGAUAUUUGUAGGAAUGCCGAUGGGGAAGCCAGCUUACUGGACAGAUACUGACGCUAAAGCGCGAAAGCGUGG